Molecule: long non-coding RNA, 859 nt
Organism: Bubalus bubalis (water buffalo)
Lineage: Eukaryota; Metazoa; Chordata; Mammalia; Artiodactyla; Bovidae
Exons: 4
Source: RefSeq, a predicted model, not a curated record
UUCUCCAGGGCCGUUUUGUGCAGCUCUGCCACUGUUUACAUAGUACUGCUGAUAUACUGGUAUCACCUGGCAACCAUUUCCCCAUCUUCCUUCAGCCUCCUAAUCUCAUCACUCACUGUUCAGGAUGGAAGGAGUUUUUACAUCAGCAUGGUGGGGUGGACGAGCCCAGUGAAGAUUCAUCGCAGCCUGGUUGUUGUACCAUUUGUGCAGAGUCAGGAAAAAAAAGUGGAGGUUGAGAGAAGGAGUCAGGAGGAAAGUGAUCACAAUGAAUUACAAGGAAUAAAUUCCUUCUGUGCUGGGAGGAGGGCGUGAGGAAUAAACAGGUGGUCACCCACAAGGCUGCUGAAAUCUACAAGGAGAACAGCAGGAAUGGUUCUUGAGGCCCAGCUGGCCAUUAGAAUCACUCGAAGAGCUGUGAUUGGGUCCUCCGGCAGGGUAAUGGCCAGGACCUCAGUCACAGAAUGAGGUCUGAGAACCAUCUGAUCUCAGAGGAAAGGCAUCAGUGAGAUGAAAACACCAUGGGUGGGGCCAGCCUUCCAGCCAGACCUCUGCGGCUCCAUGGAUCCUCUGUCUUGAAGAUGAUCUCUGCCCGGACCAGUUGAGGCCACAGUGGCUCAUAGAAAGGACGUGUGAGCUGGUAAAAGUCUGAUAGAGGGGGCACAUGGAACAGAGUUCAUGAACAGAUGGACAGGCAGUGCUGAGGGCAUUGGGGGGUGGUCGGGUCAAGUGACGCCCAAUGAGACCUUCCAGAGAAGCAGGUGUUAGUAAUGACGUAGGGAGUUGAAAAUUGAAAAGCAUCUCCAAUGAACUUACAUGUUCAGGGCCAUGCCUCACCAAACCAAAACCUCCUUCUCCAAAA